GUCUUUAUUAUAGAUCAUAAAGGCUCUGAGAAUAACAAUGUAACCUCCAAAAGGGCUGCGGGCUUUGAGGAAUCUCAGGCAACUCGCUUCCUUCUGCUCAGUGACUCGCUUGGAGCACAGCAAAGCAAGGAAACACUUAGAGCCAAGCUUGAGUUCUGAAUUUCAAAUACAGGGAGUCCAUCUCUUUCUACCCAAUUGUUCCCUAGAAUCAGUAACUAACUCCUUCCCCUUAACGGCACGUACUUCCUACCAAAGCACAAGUGCAAUGGGCUGUCCAUAGCCUCCCCAAAAUAUGUGCACCUUGUGAUAUAAAUUCUGUCACCGAAAGAGACCAGACAAAAUGCAAAACCAAAGUGGAGCCUUUCCUUGAAUUAUAGGUUCUAAAGAGUUUUGGACCCUCUACAAAACCCAAGAGUUAGGAAUUGCCUGGAAGAAGCACAAGCCCUUGUUUUAAAGAGGCAGUUUAAGAAUAAUAGCCAUGCUGAUGCCACACUACGCUAAGGGAGAAUAAUGAACCUAAUAAAACUAUCGAUUUUCCAAUUGCUUUUGCUGCUGGAAACACUGAUUAUGCUAAAUAAAGGGUAGAAUAGUAAAUAGCCACUCUUUUGCAUCCAAUUAAGUGUUCAGAUUAUUUCUCAGAAGUAUUUGUUGAAAAUAGCACUUCUGAUAAUCAUGGGUCCCAAAUAAACAGAGUCAAUUGUGGUGUGGUUCAUGUGUGAGUGUGUGUGUGUGCACACAUGUGUCUUUCUGGAGCUCAUUUUAUGGAGAUCCCCCAUAGCUCCCCAAAUUCCUAUGAGAUGAAAUAAGAAAAAUCACAGUUUCCUAAGACUACAGCUUGGGAUAUCUUUGGAAAUGGUGUGUAUUGAGAACACAGCAUAUGGAAACUAUUUCAUGUUGGCAAUAUCUGUGAUUUAACAUUGCAAACAUUAGAAAUGCAACUGGUUCUUCAGAGCCACCUAAGUCCCUCAUAAUGGCAAUAUUAACUUCUUCUAAAUAAUAAAUUAGCCAGUCAAACUAUGUUGUACAGAAUGUUUGAAGUUUCAUCCUUCUAGUCAAUGUCACAUUUCAAGGCAAAGUCGAUUUAUAUGUAAGUUAAACAAAGUGCUGUCACUAAAAAUUGAGAAUUAUGUCUAAUGCCAAUCAGAAAUGGAAUAAAUAAGUAUUAGAGGAUUUGCAAGUUAAAGCAACCAUAGAAAUGCUAUCAUCAGGAAGGAAAAUGUAUUACCUGCAGAGGUUACACAUAAGACGCUAGAACCCAGAAGAGAAAGAAUCUCUGUAAAUAUUUCCAUUAAGUUAAUCAAGACAGGCAGGAGAAUUGUUUUAAUCCAGAAGGCAGAGGUUGCAGCAAGCCAUCACACCAUUGCACUCCAGGCUGGGUGACAGAUCACGGCUCCAUUUUGGAAAAAAAAGGAAGUUAAUCAGGGUGAGAAUAGGAUGAGUUUUUCACCCACAAAAGGAGAUGAGAUUCACGCAUUCUUUCAACAUGCAUUCCAUCAAUAGUGAGCACCUGCUCUGAGCUAGGCCCGUUCUAGGUCCCAGGAAAUGGGUAACCAACCAGACAUGGCCCCUGAUUUGGAGCUCAUAUUUUAGAGCAGCUAAAUGGACAGUAAACAAGUAAGCAAAUUAAGAUCAUCUUAAAUUGGGGGAAGUUCUUUAGAGAAGCACUUCCAUAAAGCUGAAUCGUGUCAUAGACUAUGACUGCCAGGUGGUAGGGAAGGUAAUAUCUCACCUGCCUGUGGAUAGCAGAGUUUCUGAGGCCUUG
This 1762-nucleotide long non-coding RNA is filed under the name Homo sapiens (human). Its description in RNAcentral is "HSALNT0060543". The record is from RNAcentral. Lineage: Eukaryota; Metazoa; Chordata; Mammalia; Primates; Hominidae.